RNAcentral lists this ribosomal RNA (810 nucleotides) under uncultured archaeon. Its description in RNAcentral is "bacterial SSU rRNA". It matches the Rfam family "Archaeal small subunit ribosomal RNA", at positions 85 to 877 of the family's 1478-position model. The record is from RNAcentral.
ACGGCUCAGUAACACGUGGCUAAUCUGCCCUUGGGAUAGGAACAACCCCGGGAAACUGGGGAUAAUUCCCAAUAGGCGAAGAACUCUGGAAUGAGUCUUCACCAGAAAAGACGUUUACGUUAUGCUCGUAAGCGUCGCCCAAGGAUGAGGCCGCGACCGAUCAGGUUGUUGGUGAGGUAAUGGCUCACCAAGCCUUUUACCGGUGCGGGCCGUGAGAGCGGGAGCCCGGAGAUGGGCACUGAGACAAGGGCCCAGGCCCUACGGGGCGCAGCAGUCGCGAAAACUUUGCAAUACACGAAAGUGUGACAGGGCUAUCCCGAGUGCCAUCCGCUGAGGAAGGCUUUUACCCAGUCUAGAACGCUGGGGGAAUAAGGAGAGGGCAAGUCUGGUGUCAGCCGCCGCGGUAAUACCAGCUCUUCGAGUGGUGUGGAUGUUUAUUGGGCCUAAAGCAUCCGUAGCUGGCUAAGUUAGUCCCCUGUUAAAUCCACCGAAUUAAUCGUUGGAUUGCGGGGGAUACUGCUUGGCUAGGGGACGAGAGAGGCAGACGGUAUUUCCGGGGUAGGGGUGAAAUCCUAUAAUCCUUGGGGGACCACCUGUGGCGAAGGCGUCUCACCAGAACGGCUCCGACAGUGAGGGACGAAAGCUGGGGGAGCAAACCGGAUUAGAUACCCGGGUAGUCCCAGCCGUAAACGAUGUGCGUUAGGUGUAUCGAUGACCACGAGUCAUCGAGGUGCCGAAGAGAAAUCGUGAAACGUACCGCCUGGGAAGUACGGUCGCAAGGCUGAAACUUAAGGGAAUUGGCGGGGGGAG